UUGGGGCCAUCUGAGUGUGAGUCUGGAUGUAGAGGUGAAGCAAGGGCCCGGCACACCAGGCAUGUGCCCUGAGCCAUGGUGCAGCUGGCUUACUCGACGGUGGGUGCCAAGGUUCCAGCCACCCACAUCUGUGGGCGAGCGAUGCCCAGGCCACUGGCACAGUGGGUGACCUUCCCUCUUAUCCAGGUACCUGGAUGGGCCCUAUGUGCCUGGAUGGGGUUUGAAGACUCUAGCGGUCCCACCCGACACCCUGUCUGUGUUGUCUCUGGCCCGCCUCGCUGUCCUUCUCCCAGCCCUCCCCCAAAAGGGAAGCGGAAGGGGUCAGGGAAGGAUAAGUGGAUCGGGCCGGGUGGGCAGGUGGCGGAGCGGCCUACCUCCAUCCCCUGGGAAGCGCUGUGCUGCUGCAGGUGGUGGUCAGGCUUCCCGGGCUGAGCACCUGGAUUUAUUUACCUACCUAGCACGCACCUAGACAGGGUGCUGGGCUGUCCCGCACAGAUGGCGCUGCCUCUCCUGCACCGGCAGGGUCAGGCCGAUGUCUGGAACCAAAAAAAAGUUGCCUGUGACUCUUGGCGGUGGAUCACUCGACUCGUGCAUCGAUGAAGAACGCAGCUAGCUGCGAGAAUUAGUGUGAAUUGCAGGACACAUUGAUCAACACUUCGAACGCACCAUGUGGCCCUGGGUUUUUCCUGGGGCUACGCCUGUGUGAGGGUCGCUUGUACAUCAAUCCCCCCAGGGUUCCCUCCCAGGGGUGUGGCUGGGGCUGUCGCAGGGACCCCAUUCCAUUCAUCCCCCGAUCAGCACCGUCGCUGGAUCCUUGGACCUGGCGCGCAAGCUCAUUGGCGACGCGUCCUGGCCUCCCCAGUUUCCCCGCCUCAUGCUGGUUUCGGGUGGCUGUCGCGGGCUGGAAGUGAUGGCGGCGGCAGCAGGCUUUAAAAAAGCUUGGUGCACCUUCACCCUACCCCGGGGCACCUGGCCGUGCUGUGUUUGGCUGUCUUUGGUGUCCCACGGCUGCCGGCGCAGGAUGACCAUGGAGUGCAGACCUCGUGACCAUGUGGGCUUCGGUCGCAGAUUGGGACAGAGCACACUCGCCUGUGCCAGAGGCACAGGGCUGGGGCAACCCCCAUACCGGCCCGCGGCUAGCUGCCCUAAGCUUUGUGCUCCCCGACCACGGCCUCAGAUCAGACGUGGUGACUGCUGAAUUUAAGCAUAUUAAUAAGCAGAGGAAAAGAAACUAACCAGGAUUCCCUCAGUAACGGCCAGUGAAAAGGGAAGUGCCCAAUGCUGAAUCCCCAUUCAGCGGCAGGCGUGGGAAAUGUGGCUUACAGAAGACCGACCCCCGCAUCGCUCAUGGGGCUCAAGUCAUUCUGAUCGAGCCUCACCACGCGGAUGGUGUUAGGCCAGUAGCGGCCUCUUGCACACCGGGAUCAGGUCUUCUUGAAGUCAGGUUGCUUGGAAUGCAGCCCAAAGGCUGUACCCAUAUCCGCAUCAGGUCUCCAAGGCGACAACCUCUGGCAUGUCGGAACAAUGUAGGUACGGGAAGUCGGCAAGUUAGAUCCAUAACUUCGGGAUAAGGAUUGGCUCUAAGGGCUGGGUCGAAGCAGGGCUGGGUGCGCACCAUGGCUGGAUGAGGCGUCUUAACCCCCCCUCCGGUGUCUGCCUCUGAUGCGAGCGCGGCCUUCCUGUGGAUCACCCCAGCUGCAGUUUGCCUCUCUCGUUUCCCCCCUUCUGGGGUUCAGGGCCGGCUUUCUGUCUCGGCCGACACCUAGCAGCUGAUUUGCAACUGGUACAGACCAGGGAAUCUGACUGUUCCAUUAAACAAAUCAUUGCCAAGGCCCGUGGAGGGUGUUGACGCAAUGUGAUUUCUGCCAAGUGCUCUGAAUGUCAAAGUGAAGAAAGCGUGGGUAAACGGCUGGGGUAACUAUGACCUUUAAGGUAGCCAAAUGCCUCAUCAUCUAAUUAGUGAUGUGCAUGAAUGAGAUUACCACUGUCCCUACCUACUAUCUAGUGAAACCACAACCAAGGGAACAAGCUUGUCAGAAUCGUCGGGGAAAGAAGACCCGGUUGGGGUUGACUCUAGUCUAGUGUGAAGAGACAUGAGAGGUAGGAUAAGUGGGGGGCCCUCGGGUCGCUGGUGAAAUGCCACUACUGUUAUUGUUUUUCCACUUACCUGGUGAGGUGCGGGGGCCCCAUGGGGCUCUCGCUUCUGGUUUCGCGCCUCCGGCACCUGCUGGACACGACCCGCUCCGGGGACAGUGGCAGGUGGGGAGUUUGACUGGGGUGGUACACCUGUCAAAGGAUAACACAGGUGUCCUAAGACAAACUCGGGGAGGACAGAAACCUCCCACGGAGCAGAAGGGCAAAAGCUAGCUUGAUCUCGAUUUUUCAGUAUGAAUACAGACCGUGAAAGCGGGGCUUCACGAUCCUGUUGACUUUUUGGGUUUCAAGCAGGAAGUGUCAGAAAAGUUACCACAGGGAUAACAGGCUUGUGGCGGCCAAGCCUUCAUCGCUUUUUGAUCCUUCGAUGUCGUCUCUUCCUAUCAUUGUGAAACAGAAUUCACCAAGCGUCGGAUUGUUCACCCACUAAUAGGGAACGUGAGGUGGAUUUAGACCGUCGUGAGACAGGUUACUUUUACCCUACUGACGAUGUGUUGUUGCAAUAGUAAUCCUGCUCUGUACAAGAGGAACCACAGGUUCAGACAUUUGGUGUGCAUGCUUGGCUGAGGAGCCAAUGGGGCCGGUGUGUAGAGCCGCUCGCAUCGGGACUUGUGUGGACAGAAGGGGGCCACCUCUCACCCGUAGUGCACCGCAUGUUCGUGGGGAAUCUGGUGCUAAAUCGUUCGUAGACCUCCGAAUUCUGGUUCGGGGUUUCAUAAGUAGCAGAGCAGCUACCUCGCUGCGAUCUAUUGGAAGUCCUCCUCUGA
Molecule: ribosomal RNA, 2921 nt
Filed under: Ambystoma mexicanum (axolotl)
Lineage: Eukaryota; Metazoa; Chordata; Amphibia; Caudata; Ambystomatidae
Description: eukaryotic LSU rRNA
Rfam family: Eukaryotic large subunit ribosomal RNA (bases 1169-2921)
Source: RNAcentral